Molecule: ribosomal RNA, 423 nt
Filed under: uncultured bacterium
Lineage: Bacteria
Description: bacterial SSU rRNA
Rfam family: Bacterial small subunit ribosomal RNA
Source: RNAcentral
GAUGAACGCUGGCGGCGUGCCUAACACAUGCAAGUCGUACGAGCUCGAUCUUCGGAACGGGUUAGUGGCGCACGGUGAGUAACACGUAGGUGACCUACCCCAGAGUGGGGGAUAACUUCUCGAAAGAGAGGCUAAUACCGCAUACACUCGGUCAUUCAUUUGGCCGAGCAAAGCUCCGGCGCUUUGGGACGGGCCUGCGUCCGAUUAGCUAGUUGGUAGGGUAAUGGCUUACCAAGGCUUUGAUCGGUAGCUGGUCUGAGAGGACGAUCAGCCACACUGGCACUGACACACGGGCCAGACUCCUACGGGAGGCAGCAGUGAGGAAUAUUGGGCAAUGGGCGAAAGCCUGACCCAGCAACGCCGCGUGAGGGAUGAAGGCCUCGGGUUGUAAACCGUCUUUCUGGAGAAGAGACAAGGACGGUA